GAGUGAGCCCCUGGACCAAAAACUGGGCUGAAGUUCAAUUCAAGGGCAGAUAGAAAGGGGGCACUCCUCCAUGGGAGAGGUGGCCUGAGGAUAGGAUUGCCAGAUUUACCAAAUAAACAGAACACCCCUUUAAAUUUGAAUUACAAAUUACUGUUUUUUUUUUUUUUUUAGUGGUAUCCAGGUGCACAGAUCCAGUGAAGGCUUUCAUUUCACUUUCUGGCAAUGAAUCCUCAGCAUGGAGCCAGAUUCUCCCAGUGGGCAAGUUCUACUGUGGGAAAGGGAGAGGUAACUCUGAAGUUGUAACUCCUUCAAGCAGCCAGGAUUCCCUUGAGGAAGAGAGAUCCUCAAGACAGGAACUCUGCUUCAUCCAAGGGCCUCAUUUCAGCAAUGUGGAUAUCUAUAUGGAUAAACUCACGAUUCAGCUCACCACUGAUCAACUGUGAAUUGCUGUUCCAUGUACAAAUCAGAUCAGAACCAACGGGCAAACCUGCCAUUGUUGUUGCUGUAUUGCCAGAAAUAAUAGCCAUGUGCCUGAUUGUGUCCUAACAAGCUGGCCUGAGGAUGGGGUGAAAACACUCUGUUCUCCAGGCUCAGACCUCUCAUUUGUAGGAUGAUUUUAAGUUGUGUUGCAUCAAGUCCUUGGUGAGGGCUAAGCAACCUGGCUCCUGAGCCUUUCCAGCCCAUGCCAACUAGAAUCGCUCCAUUCUUAAUGGUUUAAUACUUAGGGUUUUAUCUCAGACUGUGUUUGAAAGAAAGGUCCUACAAGGAAAAAGCAAGUUUGAAAAUGACUGAUCUGGGAUAUACUCUAAUUUCCCUAGCAAUACCUCUGCUGGAAAAGUGUCCACAUUUUAUCAGUGCCUCUCCAAAACUCUUCAUGUGGCACUCCAGGCCUUGCAAGCACUGGCACCAAGCCUCUCCCCUCGGGGUCCCCAAUACCCACCCCCAUGUGCCUCCUUCCAUUUAUAACAGAUCAUUCCCUAAAUAGCCCACAUUCCUUCUCUCCUCUACUUAUCAAUUUUGAAAAACUAUUCUCAUCUUUCCAAGCCCGAUUCAAAAUGUUCCUCCAUGGAGAAGUCCCCAGCUUCCCCCUCCUUCUCCAAGAAGUGGAAAUAUUGUUUGUUUGAAUCUAUGCUGUGAACACACUCUUCAUUGAUUAUUUGUCAAUGCAACUCCCACAUUCUACUUCAGGAGAGCAGAAAAUGGUCUGUGUCCUUCCCUAAAGCCAGUGGAGGACACUGCACACAGCAAUGCAUAAUGAACCUUCUUCUUGUCUGGGUUAUUAGUUUUCUCCAUCUUCUGAGCCAAACUCCUUCUCACCUUCAGGACCUGGAUGGAAAAUGGCUUCCUCCAGGAACCCUUCCCUGACUCUGUGUCC
Bos taurus (domestic cattle) is the source of this 1375-nucleotide long non-coding RNA. The record is from Ensembl. Lineage: Eukaryota; Metazoa; Chordata; Mammalia; Artiodactyla; Bovidae.